CCAAUAGCGUAUAUUAAAGUUGUUGCAGUUAAAAAGCUCGUAGUUGAAUUUUGGGUCUGGCCGGGCGGUCCGCCCUCUGGGUGAGUACUGUUCCGACGUCGGGCCUAUCCUUCUGGUGAGUCGGCAUGUCCUUUAUUGGGUGUGUCGGGGAACCAGGACCAUUACCUUGAAAAAAUUAGAGUGUUCAAAGCAGGCGUAUGCUAGGAUACAUUAGCAUGGAAUAAUGAAAUAGGACGCGUGGUGCUAUUUUGUUGGUUUCUAGAACCGCCGUAAUGAUUAAUAGGGAUAGUUGGGGGCAUUAGUAUUCAAUUGUCAGAGGUGAAAUUCUUGGAUUUAUUGAAGACUAACUUCUGCGAAAGCAUUUGCCAAGGAUGUUUUCAUUAAUCAAGAACGAAAGUUAGGGGAUCGAAGACGAUCAGAUACCGUCGUAGUCUUAACCAUAAACUAUGCCGACUAGGAAUCGGGCGAUGUUAUUCUCAUGACUCGCCCGGCGCCUUAUG
This 500-nucleotide ribosomal RNA is filed under the name uncultured Glomeromycotina. RNAcentral describes it as "partial small subunit ribosomal RNA". It matches the Rfam family "Eukaryotic small subunit ribosomal RNA", at positions 591 to 1092 of the family's 1831-position model. The record is from RNAcentral. Lineage: Eukaryota; Fungi; Glomeromycota.